GACGAACGCUGGCGGCGUGCUUAACACAUGCCAGUCGAACGGAAAGGCCCUUUUGGGGUUACUCGAGUGGCGGACGGGGGCGUAACACGUAGGUAACCAGCCCUUGACAUUUGUAUAACUUCAGGAAACUGGGGCAAAUACCGGUAAGGCAUCAUUGCUCCAUGGUGGGGGUUGGAAAGCUUCGGGGGCCUUGGGCGGACUGGCGGCCUAUUAGCUUGUUGGUGGGUUAGUGGCUUACCAAGGCUCUGACGGGUAGCCGGCCUGUGAGGGUGAGCGGCCGCAUUGGGACUGAGGGGAGGCACAGGUGGCGACGGGUGGCAGAAGGGGGGAAGAUUGCACCAGGGGCGGCAGGCUGGUGCAGAAGGGCCGCGUGCGGGAUAACGGCCUUGGGGUUGAAAACCGGCUUCAGCAGGAGCGAAGCUUGUGGUGACGGUACCUGAAGAAGAAGCACCGGCUAACUACGUG
Molecule: ribosomal RNA, 465 nt
Filed under: uncultured bacterium
Lineage: Bacteria
Description: partial 16S ribosomal RNA
Rfam family: Bacterial small subunit ribosomal RNA
Source: RNAcentral